AGUGAACGCUGGCGGUAGGCCUAACACAUGCCAGUCGAACGGCAGCACAGUAAGAGCUUGCUCUUACGGGUGGCGAGUGGCGGACGGGUGAGGAAUACAUCGGAAUCUACUUUUUCGUGGGGGAUAACGUAGGGAAACUUACUCUAAUACCGCAUACGACCUACGGGUGAAAGCAGGGGAUCUUCGGACCUUGCGCGAUUGAAUGAGCCGAUGUCGGAUUAGCUAGUUGGCGGGGUAAAGGCCCACCAAGGCGACGAUCCGUAGCUGGUCUGAGAGGAUGGUAGGCCACACUGGAACUGGGACACGGUCCAGACUCCUACGGGAGGCAGCAGUGGGGAAUAUUGGACAAUGGGGGCAAGCCUGAUCCAGCCAUACCGCGUGGGUGAAGAAGGCCUUCGGGUUGGAAAGCCCUUUUGUUGGGAAAGAAAAGCAGCAGGUUAAUACCCCGCUGUUCUGACGGUACCCAAAGAAUAAGCACCGGCUAACUUCGUG
RNAcentral lists this ribosomal RNA (492 nucleotides) under uncultured bacterium. Its description in RNAcentral is "partial 16S ribosomal RNA". It matches the Rfam family "Bacterial small subunit ribosomal RNA", at positions 29 to 507 of the family's 1533-position model. The record is from RNAcentral.